AGAGUUUGAUCCUGGCUCAGGAUGAACGCUAGCGGCGUGCCUAACACAUGCAAGUCGAACGGACCGACCCGCGACUCUUCGGAUGAGCGGUAAGGUUAGUGGCGAACGGGUGAGUAACACGUGGGUGACCUGCCCCGAAGUGGGGGAUAACUCUUCUAACGAGGAGCUAAUCCCGCAUAUGCUCCGUGGAGUUUGAGAACACGGAGUAAAGCUCCGGCGCUUCGGGAGGGGCCUGCGGCCGAUUAGCUAGUUGGUGGGGUAAUGGCUCACCAAGGCGACGAUCGGUAGCUGGUCUGAGAGGAUGAUCAGCCACACUGGCACUGAGACACGGGCCAGACUUCUACGGAAGGCAGCAGUGAGGAAUAUUGCGCAAUGGGCGAAAGCCUGACGCAGCAACGCCGCGUGGGUGAUGAAGGCCUUCGGGUCGUAAAACCCUUUUCUGGGGGACGAGGAAGGACGGUACCUCAGGAAUAAGUCUCGGCUAACUACGUGCCAGCAGCCGCGGUAAAACGUAGGAGGCAAGCGUUAUCCGGAUUUACUGGGCGUAAAGCGCGCGCAGGCGGUUUGGUAAGUCGGACGUGAAAGCCCCCGGCUCAACUGGGGGAGGCCGUUCGAAACUGCCAGACUUGAGGUCUGGAGAGGGGAGUGGAAUUCCCGGUGUAGUGGUGAAAUGCGUAGAUAUCGGGAGGAACACCAGUGGCGAAGGCGGCUCCCUGGCCAGCACCUGACGCUAAGGCGCGAAAGCGUGGGUAGCAAACGGGAUUAGAUACCCCGGUAGUCCACGCCCUAAACGAUGGCAACUAGGUGUUGGGGGUUAUUGACCCCCUCAGUGCCGAAGCAAACGCGAUAAGUUGCCCGCCUGAGGACUACGAGCGCAAGCUUAAAACUCAAAGGAAUUGACGGGGACCCGCACAAGCAGCGGAGCGUGUGGUUUAAUUCGAUGCA
Molecule: ribosomal RNA, 945 nt
Filed under: uncultured bacterium
Lineage: Bacteria
Description: bacterial SSU rRNA
Rfam family: Bacterial small subunit ribosomal RNA
Source: RNAcentral